RNAcentral lists this ribosomal RNA (468 nucleotides) under uncultured bacterium. RNAcentral's name for it is "partial 16S ribosomal RNA". It matches the Rfam family "Bacterial small subunit ribosomal RNA", at positions 28 to 507 of the family's 1533-position model. The record is from RNAcentral.
GACGAACGCUGGCGGCGUGCUUAACACAUGCAGGUCGAACGGAAAGGCCCUGCUUUUGUGGGGUGCUCGAGUGGCGAACGGGUGAGUAACACGUGAGUAACCUGCCCUUGACUUUGGGAUAACUUCAGGAAACUGGGGCUAAUACCGGAUAGGAGCUCCUGCUGCAUGGUGGGGGUUGGAAAGUGUCGGCGGUUGGGGAUGGACUCGCGGCUUAUCAGCUUGUUGGUGGGGUAGUGGCUUACCAAGGCUUUGACGGGUAGCCGGCCUGAGCGGGUGACCGGCCACAUUGGGACUGAGAUACGGCCCAGACUCCUACGGGAGGCAGCAGUGGGGAAUAUUGCACAAUGGGCGGAAGCCUGAUGCAGCAACGCCGCGUGCGGGAUGACGGCCUUCGGGUUGUAAACCGCUUUCGCCUGUGACGAAGCGUGAGUGACGGUAAUGGGUAAAGAAGCACCGGCUAACUACGUG